RNAcentral lists this ribosomal RNA (307 nucleotides) under uncultured bacterium. Its description in RNAcentral is "partial 16S ribosomal RNA". It matches the Rfam family "Bacterial small subunit ribosomal RNA", at positions 506 to 807 of the family's 1533-position model. The record is from RNAcentral.
AGACAGCAGCAGCCACGGUAAUACGAAGGGGGCUAGCGUUGUUCGGAUUUACUGGGCGUAAAGGGCGCGUAGGCGGACUGAUAAGUCAGGGGUGAAAUCCCAAGGCUCAACCUUGGAACUGCCUUUGAUACUGUUUGUCUUGAGUUCGAGAGAGGUAAGUGGAACUGCGAGUGUAGAGGUGAAAUUCGUAGAUAUUCGCAAGAACACCAGUGGCGGAGGCGGCUUACUGGCUCGAAGCUGACGCUGAGGCGCGAAAGCGUGGGGAGCAAACAGGAUUAGAUACCCCCGUAGUCCCUGUCUCUUAUAC